AAAUGCGAUAAGUAAUGUGAAUUGCAGAAUUCAGUGAAUCAUCGAACCUUUGAACGCACAUUGCGCCCGCCAGUAUUCUGGCGGGCAUGCCUGUUCGAGCGUCAUUACAACCCUCAGGCCCCCGGGCCUGGCGUUGGGGAUCGGCGGAAGCCCCCUGCGGGCACAACGCCGUCCCCCAAAUACAGUGGCGGUCCCGCCGCAGCUUCCAUUGCGUAGUAGCUAACACCUCGCAACUGGAGAGCGGCGCGGCCACGCCGUAAAACACCCAACUUCUGAAUGUUGACCUCGAAUCAGGUAGGAAUACCCGCUGAACUUAAGC
This 319-nucleotide unclassified non-coding RNA is filed under the name plant metagenome. Its description in RNAcentral is "partial contains 5.8S ribosomal RNA, internal transcribed spacer 2, and large subunit ribosomal RNA". The stretch from base 1 to 104 matches the Rfam family "5.8S ribosomal RNA", at positions 51 to 154 of the family's 154-position model. The record is from RNAcentral.